This 457-nucleotide ribosomal RNA is filed under the name uncultured bacterium. RNAcentral describes it as "bacterial SSU rRNA". It matches the Rfam family "Bacterial small subunit ribosomal RNA", at positions 340 to 786 of the family's 1533-position model. The record is from RNAcentral.
UACGGAAGGCAGCAGUGGGGAAUAUUGCACAAUGGGCGAAAGCCUGAUGCAGCUAUGCCGCGUGUAUGAAGAAGGCCUUAGGGUUGUAAAGUACUUUCAUCGGGGAGGAAAAAACAAAACUAAUAAUUUUAUUUCUUGACGUUACCCGAAAAAGAAGCACCGGCUAACUCCGUGCCAGCAGCCGCGGUAAUACGGAGGGUGCUAGCGUUAAUCAGAAUUACUGGGCGUAAAGAGCACGUAGGUGGUUUUUUUAAGUCAGAUGUGAAAUCCCUGGGCUUAAACCUGGAACUGCAUUUUGAAACUGAAAUACUAGAGUAUCGUAGAGGGAGGUAGAAUUCUAGGUGUAGCGGUGAAAUGCGUAGAUAUCUGGAGGAAUACCUGUGGCGAAAGCGGCCUCCUAAACGAAUACUGACACUGAGGUGCGAAAGCGUGGGGAGCAAACAGGGAUUAGGAUACC